This 918-nucleotide long non-coding RNA is filed under the name Homo sapiens (human). RNAcentral's name for it is "HSALNT0295606". Lineage: Eukaryota; Metazoa; Chordata; Mammalia; Primates; Hominidae. The record is from RNAcentral.
AGAAGGGGAGGAAACUGGAAUCCAGCAGCGGCGAGCAGCAGCUGGACGGUAACAUCUGGAAAUGGAAAGCCGACCUCCCCCUCCUCCUCCACCUCCUCCUCCUCCUCCUCCUUCUCCUCCUCUCACCCAGGAUCACUUCCGAAACCACUUGGCCUUCAGCCCCUGCCUCGGCCAGAGGUUUCAUUUUUAACUGAAUAUUUACCAAAGCUGAAAGCGUGCGAGGGGGGUGGGGUGGAAAUAGCGGCUGCUUCUUUUCCAAGGAUUUAUUUAAUGGGGAUGUGUUCAAGGCAAGACCGAAUUCAGAAGGAUAUCGACGUCGUGAUCCAGAAGUCCAGAGCUGAGGACUGCCUGUUUGCAGAUUUCAGAUACUCAGACUCCACCUUUACUUUUACCUAUGUUGGCGGCCCCAGAAGGAGUGAAGGCAAUUUUGAAGGCAUGACUACGACCUGCUCUGGCCACAAGAGCUAAGAGUUGCCAGGUGUUGUGGCUCAAACACUUUGAGAUGCCAAUCCCAACACUUUGAGAGGCCAAGGCAGGAGGAUUGCUUGAGGCUAGGAGCUUGAAACCAGCCUGGGCAACACAGCGAGACCCCAUCUCUACAAAAAAUAAAAAAACAGGCCAGGCGCAGUGGCACUUAGGGAGGCCAAGGUGGGUGGAUCACCUGAGGUCAGGAGUUCGAGACCAGCCUGACCAACAUGGAGAAACCCCGUCUCUACAAAAAAUACAAAGUUUGCCAGUGUGGUGGCACAUGCCUGUUAUCCCAGCUACUCAGGAGGCUGAGGCAGGAGAAUCGCUUGAACCCGAAAGGCAGAGGUUGCAGUGAGUGGAGAUCAUGCCAUUGCACUCCAGCCUGCGCAACAAGAGUGAAACUCCAUCUCAAAUAAAUAAAUAAAAUAAAGUUUUAAAAAGUCAAAAUUA